CUUUCCUAGAGACCGGCGCACGGGUGCGUAACGCGUAUGCAACCUACCUUAAUCAGGGGGAUAGCCCGAAGAAAUUCGGAUUAACACCGCAUAAAAUCACAGGGUAGCAUUAUCCAAUGAUCAAAUAUUUAUAGGAUUAAGAUGGGCAUGCGUGUCAUUAGCUAGUUGGCGGGGUAACGGCCCACCAAGGCGACGAUGACUAGGGGAUCUGAGAGGAUGACCCCCCACACUGGUACUGAGACACGGACCAGACUCCUACGGGAGGCAGCAGUAAGGAAUAUUGGUCAAUGGAGGCAACUCUGAACCAGCCAUGCCGCGUGCAGGAAGACGGCCCUAUGGGUUGUAAACUGCUUUUAUCCGGGAAUAAACCUACUUACGUGUAAGUAGCUGAAUGUACCGGAAGAAUAAGGAUCGGCUAACUCCGUGCCAGCAGCCGCGGUAAUACGGAGGAUCCAAGCGUUAUCCGGAUUUAUUGGGUUUAAAGGGUGCGUAGGCGGCCUGUUAAGUCAGAGGUGAAAGACGGUAGCUCAACUAUCGCAGUGCCUUUGAUACUGACGGGCUUGAAUGAACUAGAGNGUAGGCGGAAUGAGACAAGUAGCGGUGAAAUGCAUAGAUAUGUCUCAGAACACCGAUUGCGAAGGCAGCUUACUAUGGUUUUAUUGACGCUGAGGCACGAAAGCGUGGGGAUCAAACAGGAUUAGAUACCCUGGUAGUCCACGCCCUAAACGAUGAAUACUCGCUGUUAGCGA
Molecule: ribosomal RNA, 749 nt
Filed under: Pedobacter sp.
Lineage: Bacteria; Pseudomonadati; Bacteroidota; Sphingobacteriia; Sphingobacteriales; Sphingobacteriaceae
Description: bacterial SSU rRNA
Rfam family: Bacterial small subunit ribosomal RNA
Source: RNAcentral